GCCUGGCUGGCUCAGUUGGAAGAGCAUGUGACUAUAGAUCUCAGGGUCGUGAGUUUUAGCCUCACGCUGAGUG
This 73-nucleotide transfer RNA is filed under the name Ailuropoda melanoleuca (giant panda). It matches the Rfam family "tRNA". Rfam says of the family: Transfer RNA (tRNA) molecules are approximately 80 nucleotides in length. Their secondary structure includes four short double-helical elements and three loops (D, anti-codon, and T loops). Further hydrogen bonds mediate the characteristic L-shaped molecular structure. tRNAs have two regions of fundamental functional importance: the anti-codon, which is responsible for specific mRNA codon recognition, and the 3' end, to which the tRNAs corresponding amino acid is attached (by aminoacyl-tRNA synthetases). tRNAs cope with the degeneracy of the genetic code in two manners: having more than one tRNA (with a specific anti-codon) for a particular amino acid; and 'wobble' base-pairing, i.e. permitting non-standard base-pairing at the 3rd anti-codon position. Lineage: Eukaryota; Metazoa; Chordata; Mammalia; Carnivora; Ursidae. The record is from Rfam by way of RNAcentral.